UGCGUAGGCGGGGCAAUUAGUCAGUGGUGAAAUCCUGCGGCUUAACCGUAGAACUGCCAUUGAUACUGUUGCCCUCGAGUAUAGUUGAGGUGGGCGGAAUGUGUAAUGUAGCGGUGAAAUGCAUAGAGAUUACACAGAACACCAAUUGCGAAGGCAGCUCACUAAGCUAUAACUGACGCUGAGGCACGAAAGCGUGGGGAGCGAACAGGAUUAGAUACCCUGGUAGUCC
Molecule: ribosomal RNA, 229 nt
Filed under: uncultured bacterium
Lineage: Bacteria
Description: partial 16S ribosomal RNA
Rfam family: Bacterial small subunit ribosomal RNA
Source: RNAcentral